This 460-nucleotide ribosomal RNA is filed under the name uncultured bacterium. Its description in RNAcentral is "partial 16S ribosomal RNA". It matches the Rfam family "Bacterial small subunit ribosomal RNA", at positions 338 to 795 of the family's 1533-position model. The record is from RNAcentral.
CCUACGGGAGGCAGCAGUGAGGAAUAUUGGUCAAUGGACGAGAGUCUGAACCAGCCAAGUAGCGUGAAGGAUGACUGCCCUAUGGGUUGUAAACUUCUUUUAUAUGGGAAUAAAAUGUUCCACGUGUGGGAUUUUGUAUGUACCAUAUGAAUAAGGAUCGGCUAACUCCGUGCCAGCAGCCGCGGUAAUACGGAGGAUCCGAGCGUUAUCCGGAUUUAUUGGGUUUAAAGGGAGCGUAGGUGGAUUGUUAAGUCAGUUGUGAAAGUUUGCGGCUCAACCGUAAAAUUGCAGUUGAAACUGGGAGUCUUGAGUACAGUAGAGGUGGGCGGAAGUCGUGGUGUAGCGGUGAAAUGCUUAGAUAUCACGAAGAACUCCGAUUGCGAAGGCAGCUCACUGGACUGCAACUGACACUGAGGCUCGAAAGUGUGGGUAUCAAACAGGAUUAGAUACCCUUGUAGUC